AUUGGUGGAGUGCUGCAGAGAUGGGAGAACCUUCCAGAUGGACAACCAUCUCCACAUAGGAACUCUGGAGCUCUGUCAGAGUGAUCAUUGGGUUCUUGGUCACCUCCUGACCAAGGCCCUUCUCCCCAAUUGCUUAGUUUAGCCCGGCGGCCAGCUCUAGAACAGUCUAGGUGGUUCUAAACUUCUACCGUUUAAGAAUGAUGUAGGCCACUGUGUUCAAUUUUAGGAAAAAGCUGUAACGUAACAAAAUGUGGAAAAAGUAAAAUACUGAAUCCUUUCCGAAUGCACUGUAGGUAGGGAUAAAGUGACUAGGCAACAGGAUAUACAAUAAAUAGUAAGAGCAGAGUAUGUGAUGAGUCAAAAAGAAAUUAGUGCAAGAAGGGUCAAUGCAGAUAUUCCAUGUACAGUUGAAGUUGGAAGUUUACCUACACCUUAGCCAAAUAGGUUUAAACUCAGUUUUUCACAAUUCCUGACAUUUAAUCCGAGUAAUAAUUCCCUGUCUUAGGUCAGUUAGGAUCAAAUCAAAUUUAUUUAUAUAGCCCUUCUUACAUCAGCUGAUAUCACAAAGCGCUGUUCAGAAACCCAGCCUAAAACCCCAAACAGCAAGCAAUGCAGGUGUAGAAGCACGGUGGCUAGGAAAAACUCCCUAGAAAGGCCAAAACCUAGGAAGAAACCUAGAGAGGAACCAGGCUAUGAGGGGUGGCCAGUCCUCUUCUGGCUGUACCGGGUGGAGAUUAUAACAGAACAUGGCCAAGAUGUUCAAAUGUUCAUAAAUGACCAGCAUUGUCAAAUAAUAGUAAUCAUAGUAGUUGUCGAGGGUGCAACAAGUCAGUAACACAAGAGUAAGUGUCAGUUGGCUUUUUCAUAGCUGAUCUUUGAGAUUAUCUCUACCGCUCCUGCUGUCUCUAGAGAGUUGAAAACAGCAGGUCUGGGACAGGUAGCACGUCCGGUGAACAGGUCAGGGUUCCAUAGCUGCAGGCAGAACAGUUGGAACUGGAGCAGCAGCACGGCCAGGUGAACUGGGGACAGCAAGGAGUCAACAAGCCAGGUAGUCCUGAGGCAUGGUCCUAGGGCUCAGGUCCUCCGAGAGAGACAAAGAAAGAAAGACAAAGAGAGAAUUAGAGAGAGCAUAUUUCAAUUCACACAGGACACCGGAAAAGACAAGAGAAAUACUCCAGAUGUGACAGACUGACCAUAGCCCCCGACACAUAAACUACUGCAGCAUAAAUACUGGAGGCUGAGGAUCACCACUUUAUUUUAGGAAUGUGAAAUGUCAGAAUAAUAGUAGAGAGAAUUAUUUAUUUCAGCUUUUGUUUCUUUCAUCACAUUCCCAGUGGG
RNAcentral lists this long non-coding RNA (1338 nucleotides) under Salmo salar (Atlantic salmon). Its description in RNAcentral is "lncRNA (ENSSSAG00000111829.1)". Lineage: Eukaryota; Metazoa; Chordata; Actinopteri; Salmoniformes; Salmonidae. The record is from RNAcentral.